UUAAAUUUAAAAAUUCCGGUAUAAAUAGUGAGUUUAUAAGUGGAAAUAAAUUACACAUUCAUUUGUUAACGAAACUAGAAUCAUGAAUUCCAAACUUUGCUUAGUCUUUGUUGUCAUAGCCCUUUUGGCAGUUUUAGCCCCAGCAAUGGCGGAUCCGCAAUUGGGAAUUUUAGGACAGGUAAAAGAAUUGGCCGAUCAAAUUCUUAGUAUUGCCGGAGCUCACAAUGAUGAUGAAAACGAUGUACAAACAGCUACAGCUCGUCGUGGAUAGAACUCUUACAAUAUAUACAAUCUUUAUUGCUUUGUAUUAUUUUAAAAUUCCAAUUUGAAGCAAGUGUUGGAUAUAAAUUGAUACUUAGAUCUUUCGGUGCAUUGUAUUAUUUUAAAACUAAUGCCAAUGCAAUAAAAGUAGUUUAUUAA
Molecule: long non-coding RNA, 420 nt
Organism: Parasteatoda tepidariorum (common house spider)
Lineage: Eukaryota; Metazoa; Arthropoda; Arachnida; Araneae; Theridiidae
Source: RefSeq, a predicted model, not a curated record